CGGAAUUCGGGGGCAUAGCG
Molecule: unclassified non-coding RNA, 20 nt
Filed under: Mus musculus (house mouse)
Lineage: Eukaryota; Metazoa; Chordata; Mammalia; Rodentia; Muridae
Description: oocyte_clustered_small_RNA6912
Source: RNAcentral